This is a long non-coding RNA of Gallus gallus (chicken), 583 nucleotides long. NCBI's taxonomy places the organism in Eukaryota, Metazoa, Chordata, Aves, Galliformes, Phasianidae. The record is from Ensembl.
GUUAAUUACCUAUGAUGAGACUCUGACUUUCACAGAAUGCCUUAGCCCUUUGUAAUUUUCAGGUUCUGGCUUAUUCACAAGCUUUUUCAUGAAUAACUGCAGUCCCUCAUGAGUAAUAAAGGAAGAUACAGCUCCACAAGAGAAAAUGAGCUCAUGCGUGCAUGAGCUCCCUGUCAGUUUGCUUUUUGCAGUCUUCCAACAACAUCUCAUCGGCCCCUGUAACAUUUCAUCGGUCCCAUAUAAUUCCUGGGAAUCUGGAGAGCAGAAGAGCUGCUAUUUCUAUGCAAAUGGUGAUACGAUGAGGAAAGGUGUCACACAUGGCCAUUUUUCACAGACUCAGUUAUGUUGUUCAUCAGCUCUGAGGCUCUGGCCUGACUGGCUUCCCUGCUGGAAAAGGCUGUUUCAGUGGAGCACUGACAUCCGGCAACCCUUUGAAAGACACCAGGGACCUAAAGAACGUCGAUGCUGUCAGAUUUCCAGACCUGAAUUCCUCCCCAUAAUACCCAGGCUUGCAGCCAAUUUGGCUGCCUUGGAGCAGCUGUAUCUUUAAAAAAUGCUUGAUGUGUAUUCACAAUUCAAAAAA